AUCAACUUCACUCAUAAUUUAACCCUGAUGUAAUGCUCUGUUUAGUAGGCUAUUGCUAACUAGCAUGUUGGUUCAAUUUUGCUUUGACAUCACCCAGAUCUUUCCUUAGUAUCAUUGCUGCUUAAUAUCAGUGCUGAUUCGUGCUGCUCGUGGUUAUCUGAGCUUUGUGCAUCCAGGCUGUCUGUUCUUUGUUCCCUCUGGGUUUUGCUUCCUUCCUUCUUGUUCUUUGGGUACCUUUUCAUUUCUGUGGGUGACAGUCUGCUCACAUCUGUUCAUCUAAAGAUGCUUUAUUUCAACCCUGUGUCUAAAGCUCAGGGUAGUUGAGCAUAGAUGUCUAGGUUGAUAUAGGUUUUGCUCUGUCUUUGAAGGGAAGUGCCAGCCCUCUGCCUCUCCGACCACGCCUCUCUGGCCACCUGUUAUUGUCCUUAUGCUAUCUAAUUGUCAUUCCUUAAGAUUUUGUUUUGUUUUGUUUUGUUUUUGAAACAGGGUUUUACUAUGCAUCUGUGGCUAACCUGGAACCUGCUACAUAGAGUAGGUUGGUUUGAAACCCCUCUGCUUCCUGGGUGCUGGAUUAAAGGCACAUGCUAUUAUACCCCAAAGGGUAGUUCUGCUCUUAUUGGGUGCGGUUUUGUUGUUACUUUUUUUUUUUUUUUUUUGAGACAGUCUCACUAUGUUGUUUAGGCUGGCCUUAACUUCCUACCUUCCUGCCUCAGCCUCUUUAGUGCUAGGAUUGCAGUUAUGUGCCUUCAUACCUAACUCUAUAAGGUUUUUAAAAUUUAUUUUCCCUAGAACUUGUGCCUAGAAUGUACUGGCCUUUGUUUUCAGCUCUCAGCCACCAUGCACACUGCUCUACUCCCACUGUGGUCAUCUUCUAAAGCUGUCUGUGAUGUGUCCGGCUUUUCUCCCCUUACCACUUAGAUUCUAUUUGCUGAGGGUGUGUUUCUCAGACUUACGCCUAUUUGGCCAGUCACUGACGGCCAACUGGGAUCUAAUAUGCUCAGCAUCCUCCUCCUCCUUAAAAGUCUGUAAUUCUUCUUUGGCAUGUUGUUUUUUCUUUUAUGGUUCUAAAUAAUUUUAACAGUGCUAGUUUUCUAGUCUCCAUCAUAUUCUUGGUUUGCCACAAGUUAAUGGCAAGCCCACACAAUUUUGCUUUCUUUCUGGAUCUAAGCAUUGGCUAUUUCCCCAGUGAUGCAGAUAUUUCCCCAUUGGCUUUCCACCUUGGGUUGAGUAUGUGUCCUCUCCGUUUUUAUUCAUGGUAGUUUAAUACGUGUUCAUGCAUACAUUAGAUGCCCAGGAGAUACUGUUUGUUGAUGGUGCAACAACUGCAAAAAGAUACUUGAUCUGUUAUGCAGCUUUUGGUUCUCAGUUCAAAUUAAAGUGUUCCAUCAAGUCUCAGGAAGUAUACACAGCCUGUAAGUCUCAUGGAGCUCCUGAAACUUAGAAGAUUCAUAAUUCCCCUUUCCAAGGUUAUUCAUGCAGCAGUCAUUGCUGAGGAGAGGAGAUUCUCUGACGGGAGAAGCUGGCUGCGAGUCCUACAGGGAACUCAAAGGACAAAGAGUCUUGGAGUCACCACCAAUACUGGAUGGGCAUUUCAGUGAUACAGCUGCCACUGAGUCAUCUCUACUCCUACCCGAGAACUUCAUGAUGGAGCAGCAGAACAGCACAUAUGGAGACACUGGCUUCCUCUUCUUCCCUUGGUUAUAAAGCACUGCCCACUAACCUAGAGAGACCUAUGUUUUGGACACUUUCCUGGCAAGGAGGCCCAUGCAGGAUGUUGCCCCUUCCCACAACUUUCCUCCAAAGGCACAGUGGGACACCUGCCCUUUCGUCCUCCAUCAUCAUUACCAGCCUCCCCAACCUAGAGAGGAUCCUGAUUUUCCUGUCACCGCAGGACCCAACCACAGAGGUGCUUCAAAGCUCUUGCUUUGGUCUGAUGCUGCAUCCGACCCAGUUCCAGGGAGAGGCUCAGAGCUGAGUGGCCAGCUGUACCUACUGUGUUUAAAGCCCAGUGGAGAGUGGACCCAAUAUGAGUUCAAGCCAGUAGGAAAGUUCAAUCUCUCUCCGGAGUCAACACAUGAAGAAUGACUUCAUCCUAUGUUCCCAUCUCGAGAUUAAAUGAGAACAGUGCACCCCAUUCAGUUCUCCCAAACCCAGUUGCCCCCAAGUUGGCCUUUGCCUCAGGUUAAAGGGCCUCGUGCUCAGCACCGAGUUCUGAUGCAAUGACACCAUUCUCUUUCAUCAUACCAGCUCUUAUACUCUUAUCAUGCACUUUUAUUUUCAAGACAUCCAUAGCCUUUCAACUACUAUGUGUGGCAGUGCUGAUAGUCUAAGAUGUGGUGUCCGGAAAUCCCUUUUGAAGUGAACUAAGGGUGUUGGCUGAGAACCAGUGUGACCCAAGCAAUGGGGGAACUGUGUGUGUUCAAUCCUGAAGUCCAUGAGGAAUCCAUGGCAGUGUCCCACCUCACUGCUGGGCUACCAGUCAUGUUUGUGCUGGCCUGGAAGGAAGGGUGUGCUGUAUCUUCAUAUGGUUUCUCUGCCUGCCAUCUCUGCUCUAGGGGUUCUCACACAAGUCUCUGUGGAGGAAGCUAGGAAAGAAGGGGCAGAGCCCUCUGGACUGUGUGAUGGGAAAGAUAAAUUCUAUAGUCUUUAGAUUGGUUCUCAAAUGGACUCAAGUACUCCCAUGACUUUAAUGGAAAGCCAUUUUAGGAGGUCCCACCCUAUGAUGGACCAUUGGAUUUAAUGGACAGCCAUCUCGAUAGGCUAGCAGAUUAAGAAGCACUGGACUUCUAAACACUUAACAGAGGGGCUAGAAUUCCCACCUGGACCAUUGGACUUCAGACAGAAUAUGU
Mus musculus (house mouse) is the source of this 2849-nucleotide long non-coding RNA. RefSeq annotates it as predicted gene, 46444. Lineage: Eukaryota; Metazoa; Chordata; Mammalia; Rodentia; Muridae. The transcript has 4 exons. The record is from RefSeq and is a predicted model, not a curated record.